AGUGGGGUGGGUGACAGGAGUUAGAAGAAGUGACUGGAUUCCAGGUGUGUUUUUUAAGAUUUUCUGAUGUGGAGGCAGACAGAGAAAAAAAAAGAGGUGAUUUCAUGGCUUUUGAUUUUAGCGGCUGGAAGGAUGGCUGAAGCCUCAAGUGAGAAGGGGAAGUUGGUGUAGAAGGAGCAGGAAGUUAGGUUUGGAUCUGAGUUCCAGAGACCCCAGAGUGGAGCUGGACACCCAGUUAUGUGUGCUGGGGAGGCUUGGUUUAGGUCAUGGGACACAGACUCUAUACAGGAACCAUAGGCAGACCAUGUAUAAAACAGAACUCUGAACCACAACCUGCAGCAACCUGCCCAGGAAGUCAACCUCUUUAUCUACAGCAAACAACCCAGGAAGCCAUCCUGCUCUAAGUUAGACUUGCAGGAAGCCAGAUUGCUAUCUCUAGUGACAAUCCAGGAAGUUAAACAAUAACUGCUCUAACUAUUGGCCCCAAAUGACCAGGACUUAAUAACUGAUGACUGGUCUAAUUUUUGUUGCUACUUCCAACUCAGGCCAACCAGAGAAAGCCAGAUAUGUGCUCCUCACCAAUCACAGAGAACACCUUGCUUCUGCUUAGCCUGCCCACAGCUUCCCUUUGCCAGCAGGGCGUACCCGAAGCCUUCCAUUUUUUUCCACUUAUAAAGCUUGCCCCCUCCUCUGUCUGCCUUUGAGUCUCUGCCAGAACGUAAGUGGCUGCCUCCCUUUCUAUAGCAAACUCAGAACAAAUAGCUUUUGCUUUUCUCAUAUAGUUGGUCUGUGUUAAUGUUCAUGGAAACAUCCAAAAUGUGGCAUCUGGUAUGUGGACAAGGAUGUAACUGUGUGUCUGGUCUAGGAGGGUGAAACUUCAGGUGACGUUAGGGGAAUGGAAGAAGGAGGAAAUUGGGGCCUGAGAACUACCUUGCUUGCCUGGGGACUUUGGCUGGCUUGUUUGGCAUCAUAAAGACGGAUGAGGGAGUGGAGGUCCUUCGUGGCCUAGUGGUUAAGGAUUCAGUGUUGUCACUGCUAUGGCUUGGGUUCCAUCCCUGACUUGGAAACUUCUGCAUGCCUCAGGGUCGGCCAAAAAAGAAGAAGAAAAAAAACAACAACAUAUAUGAGGGAGAGUUCGUGUUCAUGGUGGUUGGGAGGGGGGCUNNNNNNNNNNNNNNNNNNNNNNNUGGGCAGGUGGUCACGUUUUCCUGGGGGGCAUAGAUGGGAAAGGGGUGCUGAAGCUUUGUAGUAUGCAGAUAGUUGUGGGGGUUUUUUGUCUUUUUUUUAGAUCUGCACCCUUGGCAUGUGGAGGUUCCCAGGCUAGGGGUCCAAUCAGAGCUGCAGCUGCUGGCCUGCACCACAGCCACAGCAACACCAGAGCCGAGCCACGUCUGCAAACUAUACCACAGCUCAUGGCAAUGCUGGAUCCUCAACCUACUGAGUGAGGCCAGGGAUUGAACCUGCAACCUCAUGGUUCCUAGUCGGAUUUGUUUCUGCUCCAUUAGGCCCUGGUGGAUGGGGGCAAGAGGACCAGAGAGGUUGGCUUUUGAAUGAGUGGGAUUGAUUAGGGGACCAAUGUGCAGUACAGGAGAAGAGGGCCAAGGGUGUCUGAUGCGGUCCUGGAUGCCAGGCAGAGGCCCAGCUGGUGAGGCCUUCACAUCAAGGCUCUCUGCAGUGGGAGCCGUAGAAGACCUGGGACAGAGUGGGACAGAGUGGGAUCGUGGUUGUGUUUGCCAGGAAUGCUCUGGAUGCUGUCGGGGAGGGGGAAACUUCCCUCUCUACCUCUCUUUUGAGUUCUUGCAGCUGGACUAAUAAUAAAAUUAACAGAAGACACAUUAACAGGAGAAAGAGAAAGAAAUUUCAGUGCACAUGAGGGUCUUACAGAAGUGGGACCUAAAAUUGGCCAAAAUAGGCGGCUUUUAUACUUAGACAAAGAAACAAUAACUUUGCGAGGGAUUGACUGGAAAAAGAAACUUAGGUUUUGGAUACCCAAUUAGUGAAGUAUCUAAACAGAGUUUGGGCUUCAGGUGUUAAAUUAAAGAAGUAACAAGGUCUGGGUUCCCUGGCGGCUCAGUGGGUUAAGGAUCCAGUGUUGUCACUGCUGUGGCUCUGGUCACUGUGGCUUGGGUUUGGUCCAUGGCCCUGGAAUUUUUGCAUGCUGUGGGCACAGC
This 2171-nucleotide long non-coding RNA is filed under the name Sus scrofa (pig). RNAcentral describes it as "lncRNA (ENSSSCG00005028457.1)". Lineage: Eukaryota; Metazoa; Chordata; Mammalia; Artiodactyla; Suidae. The record is from RNAcentral.